AUACGUAGGGGGCGAGCGUUGUCCGGAAUGAUUGGGCGUAAAGGGCGCGUAGGCGGCCCGGUAAGUCUGGAGUGAAAGUCCUGCUUUUAAGGUGGGAAUUGCUUUGGAUACUGUCGGGCUUGAGUGCAGGAGAGGUAAGUGGAAUUCCCAGUGUAGCGGUGAAAUGCGUAGAGAUUGGGAGGAACACCAGUGGCGAAGGCGACUUACUGGACUGUAACUGACGCUGAGGCGCGGAAGUGUGGGGAGCAAACAGGAUUAGAUACCCUGGUAGUCCACACUGUAAACGAUGAAUGCUAGGUGUAGGGGGUAUCGACCCCUUCUGUGCCGCAGUUAACACAAUAAGCAUUCCGCCUGGGGAGUACGGCCGCAAGGUUGAAACUCAAAUGAAUUGACGGGG
Molecule: ribosomal RNA, 397 nt
Filed under: uncultured bacterium
Lineage: Bacteria
Description: partial 16S ribosomal RNA
Rfam family: Bacterial small subunit ribosomal RNA
Source: RNAcentral